Molecule: ribosomal RNA, 777 nt
Filed under: uncultured Alphaproteobacteria bacterium
Lineage: Bacteria; Pseudomonadati; Pseudomonadota; Alphaproteobacteria
Description: bacterial SSU rRNA
Rfam family: Bacterial small subunit ribosomal RNA
Source: RNAcentral
CCUGGCUCAGAACGAACGCUGGCGGCAGGCUUAACACAUGCAAGUCGAGCGCUCUCUUCGGAGGGAGCGGCGGACGGGUGAGUAACGCGUGGGAACAUACCCGACACUAAGGAAUAGCCUCUGGAAACGGAGAGUAAUACCUUAUACGCCCUACGGGGGAAAGAUUUAUCGGUGACGGAUUGGCCCGCGUUAGAUUAGGUAGUUGGUGGGGUAACGGCCCACCAAGCCGACGAUCUAUAGCUGGUUUGAGAGGAUGAUCAGCCACACUGGGACUGAGACACGGCCCAGACUCCUACGGGAGGCAGCAGUGGGGAAUCUUAGACAAUGGGGGAAACCCUGAUCUAGCCAUGCCGCGUGUGUGAUGAAGGCCCUAGGGUCGUAAAGCACUUUCGCCAGGGAUGAUAAUGACAGUACCUGGUAAAGAAACCCCGGCUAACUCCGUGCCAGCAGCCGCGGUAAUACGGAGGGGGUUAGCGUUGUUCGGAAUUACUGGGCGUAAAGCGCGCGUAGGCGGAUUAGUCAGUCAGAGGUGAAAUCCCAGGGCUCAACCCUGGAACUGCCUUUGAUACUGCUAGUCUUGAGUUCGAGAGAGGUGAGUGGAAUUCCGAGUGUAGAGGUGAAAUUCGUAGAUAUUCGGAGGAACACCAGUGGCGAAGGCGGCUCACUGGCUCGAUACUGACGCUGAGGUGCGAAAGUGUGGGGAGCAAACAGGAUUAGAUACCCUGGUAGUCCACACCGUAAACGAUGAAUGCCAGUCGUCGGCAAGCAUGCUUGUCG